Molecule: transfer RNA, 69 nt
Filed under: Babina holsti (dagger frog)
Lineage: Eukaryota; Metazoa; Chordata; Amphibia; Anura; Ranidae
Description: transfer RNA-Asp
Rfam family: tRNA
About the family: Transfer RNA (tRNA) molecules are approximately 80 nucleotides in length. Their secondary structure includes four short double-helical elements and three loops (D, anti-codon, and T loops).
Source: RNAcentral
GAGGGGUUAGUUAAAUUAUAACAUUGUCUUGUCAAGACAAUAUUACUAGUUAGAAUCUUGUAUCUCUCU